CCUACGGGUGACAGCAGUGGGGAAUAUUGCACAAUGGGGGGAACCCUGAUGCAGCAACGCCGCGUGAGUGAAGAAGUAUUUCGGUAUGUAAAGCUCUAUCAGCAGGGCAGAAGAUGACUUUACCUGAGUAAGAAGCCCCGGCUAACUACGUUCCAGCAGCCGCGGUAAUACGUAGGGGGCAAGCGUGAUCCGGAUUGACUGGGGUUAAAGGGAGCGGAGACGGUGAGACAAGUCUGAAGUGAAAGCCCGGGGCUCAACCCCGGGACUGCUUUGGAAACUGCCUGACUGGAGUGCUGGAGAGGAAAGCGGAAUUCCUAGUGUAGCGGUGAAAUGCGUAGAUAUUAGGAAGAACACCAGUGGCGAAGGCGGGUUGCUGGACAGUAACUGACGUUGAGGCUCGAAAGCGUGGGGAGCAAACAGGAUUAGAUACCCUUGUAGUC
This 440-nucleotide ribosomal RNA is filed under the name uncultured bacterium. Its description in RNAcentral is "partial 16S ribosomal RNA". It matches the Rfam family "Bacterial small subunit ribosomal RNA", at positions 338 to 795 of the family's 1533-position model. The record is from RNAcentral.